This 102-nucleotide microRNA precursor is filed under the name Manduca sexta (tobacco hornworm). RNAcentral describes it as "microRNA mse-mir-71 precursor". Its record names the gene mse-mir-71. The stretch from base 18 to 89 matches the Rfam family "mir-71 microRNA precursor family". Lineage: Eukaryota; Metazoa; Arthropoda; Insecta; Lepidoptera; Sphingidae. The record is from miRBase by way of RNAcentral.
GACGUCGGUUGCCUUCUACCUCGUGAAAGACAUGGGUAGUGAGAUGUCCUGUACAUCAAAAUUCUCACUACCUUGUCUUUCAUGCGGAUUGGGCACGUGUCA